UACGUAGGGGGCAAGCGUUGUCCGGAUUUAUUGGGCGUAAAGAGCGUGUAGGCGGCCAUGCAGGUCAGCUGUGAAAACUCGAGGCUCAACCUCGAGACGUCGGUUGAAACCGCAUGGCUAGAGUCCGGAAGAGGAGAGUGGAAUUCCCGGUGUAGCGGUGAAAUGCGCAGAUAUCGGGAAGAACACCGAUGGCGAAGGCAGCUCUCUGGGCCGUAACUGACGCUGAGGAGCGAAAGCGUGGGGAGCGAACAGG
RNAcentral lists this ribosomal RNA (253 nucleotides) under uncultured bacterium. RNAcentral describes it as "partial 16S ribosomal RNA". It matches the Rfam family "Bacterial small subunit ribosomal RNA", at positions 524 to 776 of the family's 1533-position model. The record is from RNAcentral.